CCUACGGGAGGCAGCAGUGGGGAAUAUUGGGCAAUGGGCGAAAGUCUGACCCAGCAACGCCGCGUGAAGGAUGACGGCUUUCGGGUUGUAAACUUCUUUUAAGAGGGAAGAGCAGAAGACGGUACCUCUUGAAUAAGAUACGGCUAACUACGUGCCAGCAGCCGCGGUCAUACGUAGGUGGCAGGCGUUGUCCGGAUUUACUGGGUGUAAAGGGCGUGUAGCCGGGCUGACAAGUCAGAUGUGAAAUUCCGGGGCUUAACCCCGGACUUGCAGUUGAUACUGUUGGUCUUGAGUAUCGGAGAGGCAGGCGGAAUUCCUAGUGUAGCGGUGAAAUGCGUAGAUAUGAGGAGGAACACCAGUGGCGAAGGCGGCCUGCUGGACGACAACUGACGGUGAGGCGCGAAAGCGUGGGGAGCAAACAGGAUUAGAUACCCUUGUAGUC
Molecule: ribosomal RNA, 442 nt
Filed under: uncultured bacterium
Lineage: Bacteria
Description: partial 16S ribosomal RNA
Rfam family: Bacterial small subunit ribosomal RNA
Source: RNAcentral